RNAcentral lists this ribosomal RNA (375 nucleotides) under Triticum aestivum (bread wheat). RNAcentral describes it as "partial small subunit ribosomal RNA". Lineage: Eukaryota; Viridiplantae; Streptophyta; Magnoliopsida; Poales; Poaceae. The record is from RNAcentral.
AUGGAGGGCCUGAACAAAGCUAAGUGCAUGAAUAGGAAGAGGGGCGACCAGUACACGCAGGGUCCGAGGUUGGACAAGUUCAAGGAGAUGCCGGUGAAGAAGGCUGAAGAGCAGAGAGUGGAGUUUGACGGCGCCAAGGGCGAGUGGAAGUUCAGGGUGAAGCACUUCAGCUCCUACGGGUUUGGUGAAGCUGAAGCCGACCUGGGCUGCCGAUUCCUUGUAGCUUUAUCGAUAGGUGCCUGGUCGGUUGUGAUGCUUUCUCUGAAUGAUGCUAUGAGCUCCUUCCCAUGUUUUUCUCUGUACAUAUCUUUUCUUCUUGCAGAAUGCACAAAAAUUACAUUCUGGCACCAAUCUAGCACGUGCGUGGAUGGAUAA